UGACCUUGAAGUUUAGUCAUUGACCAGACCACUUGUAUGCAAUGAAAACAAAUUUUUAAGUGUCAAAAUUUAGGUAUUUCUGCAUGGAUUCAGAGAUAGCCUUGCAACGCACACCGGUGCUUUCAGAGAUUUUCAAGAAUGUUUCGUUAUUUUCUUGUUGUAUGGGAUAUUGGAGGUGUUAUUGAUUUUUCCUGGGGGGAUGGGAGCAGGGUAUGGAUUAUAUGGGUGUAUUUGGAAUGGUGUCUAGACAGGUAGAAAUGGAGCAGCCAUAGCAAAUAGCAGGAAAACUGUUUUUCUUUCUGCUUUAUCACGUGGCCUACGUUGGUUGACUAGACAGUUCCUUGCUUCAUGUUGGUGUUUGGGCAGAAAUUUCUGAGAGAUGGGAGAGAUAAGGGUGAAACAGAAUAGAGCAAAUAGAAUCUGAAACCAUUUUAUGUGUGUAUACCUAAGAAUAAACAACCUUGCAUUUUUGUUUUUUUUUAAAGGUAGAGGAUAUGUACUGGAGAAGCCUCCACAUCUCUUUUUCUUUGCCAGGUAGUGAAAUUUAAGUCCUGGAAACAAACUACUUCUUGGUGCAGGAGUUGCAACACUGUAUGUAUCUUGCUGUUUGAUUCCUAUGAAAAUAGGAUGACUUUUGAUUAUGACUGUAAAAGGUGGUAUUGCAUGGAAUCUGGUGGCCAAGGACAUGACUUCAGCUCCUCUCUCUUUGUAAACUGAUGUGGCAGGGAAGAGCCUGUGGAAAAACUGAGAACAAUAAACAAGGUUCUGUAAUGUACUGGUAAUGAACUAUUUGCUGAACAGCAGUGGUGAGAACCUGAUGACCACCAGCAGCCGAUUCUCCAUGGAAAUGAUGACGCUUUCAGAGACAUAAGUAUUGAUUUAAGUUUUUCUUCUGCCUUAGGGAAUCAUAGAGUGUUUAUCUUUUUAUUAUCUCUUUAGCUAAUGGAAAUUGAUAGUGGAAGUACUGGCACAUAAAUUCCUGAGUCUGUGAGGACCUUAGUGAAAUAUUCUGCUGGAUGAGCCUUCCCAAGAUGAAGGCCUUUGGAUGUGGGGAACAGUGGUGUGUUCAGUGCUCUGGCAGCUGAUUUUUCAAGUUGUUUUUUUCCUGUCUGUGGAGAAGUAUUGCAAACUUGAAAGAUGAGGAACAUCAGUCUUACUACAGUGAAUUUUCUCUGGACUUUCUGCCUAUUAUGAAAUAGUCAGAGGUUAGUCUGUGAUAUUACUGGUUCUGCAGUUCUACAUGAAAAAGGGAUCAGACAUCAAAAUUAUAUGUUUUUUUGGUGCUUAGGUAGGAACAAGACAAGCCUUUCCUUCAUUACCAUUCAAGUGAUAACCUAAAGCGUUCCGGGCCUGUUGUUUUUUUUCUGCAUCUUGACUUUUUCUGACUUGAAAUCUAGUUAUUUCUAGGAAAUUUACCUUUCUUUUUUAACUAUUCAUGCCAGGAUCCACCCUAAAGUGAAGAUCUUUGCUUCCUUCAUUUUUUCUGGGAGCUCAAUGGUAGGUCCUGUACGUAGCAGCUUAUUUCCAUAAAAGCUCAGUCUAAUGUUAUACCUGUUGUACCUGAUUUGGGUCAUUAUGUCAAAAAUAGUUGGAAAAAUGCAGUUUGUAAUUCUGUUCUUUCUUUGUCUAGCACAGGAGAAGGCAUGCUUCCUGUGAACUGCAGAGGGAGUUGAAAAUCAGUCUUCAUCUCUUUAGAUCAGGUGAAGAGUCUUUUCCACUAGUAGAAGACAAUACAGGUGUUACUGUUCCCUUUCCACCAUUCACCAGGUCGGUGUCCAGCUAUGCGCUUCUGCAGUGCCUGAACUGGUGGUGUUUGGAGGCUUGUAAGAAUAACUGAGCUGUGAAUGGUAUACUGUGAAUGAGUGUUCCUAUGCCAUUAUUCAUUUUUUCCUGGAGAUCUUACAGCGUUAUUUUUUGUGUGGUGUCCUUUCUUACAUUACUGCAGCAAUAAAUGGAUAUAAAUGACAAGUGUGUAUAAUUUGUCUCUGUCCCAUAUAUAGUACAUUAGACCAUCACUGUCUUCUAAGAACUGUUGAAGAUGUGUGGUGAAGAUGGAGUCUGUUGCCAUCAAAUGUAAUACAGUCCAGUUAUGUGAAGAUCUUUGUCAUUUUAAUUUCUGUGUUCUUUGCUAGUAAAGAGAUACUGAAAACAUUUUCUUUUAUCUUAAAAUGAUAAUGUUUGUAGGUUUAUAUUGUAUAUGUAGCCAGGCAGUUAGUGUUGCUUUCAUUGUUAUUAGCCAUUAAAAGAAAGCAUUCAUGGAAUUUACUCCUGACUUUGAAGAUUACACUUUUUUGUGUCAGCAGUUAAACCAUAUAAAGAAAUAAUCAUGUUUUUCAUUGACAACA
Molecule: long non-coding RNA, 2345 nt
Organism: Pezoporus occidentalis (night parrot)
Lineage: Eukaryota; Metazoa; Chordata; Aves; Psittaciformes; Psittacidae
Exons: 4
Source: RefSeq, a predicted model, not a curated record